UAUCUCUGUAGAGUCUGCAUAUCAAUAAGCGGAGGAAAAGAAACUAACAAGGAUUCCCUUAGUAACGGCGAGUGAAGCGGGAAGAGCUCAAAUUUGAAAUCUUCAAGGUUUUACCUUGACGAAUUGUAGUUUAAAGAAGUGUUUUCUGUUGAAGUUUCGGUAAAAGUUCUUUGGAAUAGGACAUCAUAGAGGGUGAGAAUCCCGUAUUUGACCGUUAUUUUCAGCUGUGUGAUACACCUUCAAAGAGUCGGAUUGUUUGGGGAUGCAGUCCAAAAUGGGUGGUAAAUUUCAUCUAAAGCUAAAUAUUGGUGAGAGACCGAUAGCGAACAAGUACCGUGAGGGAAAGAUGAAAAGAACUUUGAAAAGAGAGUUAAACAGUACGUGAAAUUGUCAAAAGGGAAGCGUUUGACACCAGUGUUGUUUUCUCGAAAAUCAAUUAAAAAUGGCUUGAUUUUGUGUUGUAUUGACCUUAAAAGCUUUCUUCACUUUUUUCAUGUCUUUUUUAAUGCACUUUUCGUUUAACAAGUCAACAUCAGUUUCUUUUGUUGUAAAAAGGUCAUUGGAAGGUGGCUUUCUUUUCGGAGAAAGUGUUUAUAGCCUUUGACUUCUGCAAUCGGAGAGACUGAGGUCUGCAGCGUAGAUCCUUCUGGAUUAGAUUCAUUUGUGCUAAGUUACAACCGUUUAUAGACAACUUGUUGACUAUAUUCGAUCCUGUAGCUUACUCGCUUAUGUAAUUUUACCUACGCUUAGGAUGUUGAUCUGUAGUGCGUGCGC
RNAcentral lists this ribosomal RNA (774 nucleotides) under uncultured Neocallimastigales. RNAcentral's name for it is "partial large subunit ribosomal RNA". It matches the Rfam family "Eukaryotic large subunit ribosomal RNA", at positions 24 to 625 of the family's 3401-position model. The record is from RNAcentral. Lineage: Eukaryota; Fungi; Neocallimastigomycota; Neocallimastigomycetes; Neocallimastigales.